RNAcentral lists this ribosomal RNA (517 nucleotides) under uncultured bacterium. RNAcentral's name for it is "bacterial SSU rRNA". It matches the Rfam family "Bacterial small subunit ribosomal RNA", at positions 1 to 518 of the family's 1533-position model. The record is from RNAcentral.
AGAAUUGAUCUGGUCAGAACGAACGCUGGCGGCGCGUUUAAGCAUGCAAGUCGAGCGGCAAGGGCCUUCGGGCCCCUAGAGCGGCGGACGGGUGAGUAACACGUGGACAAUCUGCCCCCCGGCCCGGGAUAGCCCAGGGAAACCUGGAUUAAUACCGGAUGAGACGGGACCCGCGAUGGCGGGAUCCGGGAAAGGCGCUGCGGCGCCGCCGGGGGAUGAGUCUGCGUCCCAUUAGCUAGACGGCGGGGUAACGGCCCACCGUGGCGACGAUGGGUAGCCGGCCUGAGAGGGUGGACGGCCACAUUGGAACUGAGACACGGUCCAGACUCCUACGGGAGGCAGCAGCUAAGAAUCUUCCGCAAUGGGCGAAAGCCUGACGGAAGCGACGCCGCGUGAACGAAGAAGGCCGUGAGGUUGUAAAGUUCUUUUCGGGAGGGGGAACAACCGUGGCAGGGAAUGGCCGCGGGAUGACGUGAAUCCCGGAAUAAGCCCCGGCUAACUACGUGCCAGCCGCCGC